Molecule: long non-coding RNA, 191 nt
Organism: Scleropages formosus (Asian bonytongue)
Lineage: Eukaryota; Metazoa; Chordata; Actinopteri; Osteoglossiformes; Osteoglossidae
Exons: 3
Source: RefSeq, a predicted model, not a curated record
CAAGGAGGCAGCACCUGCCAUCAAAAAUAGAGAAAGGAAGCCUCGCUCUUCUGGAGACCAACCGCCGAAGGGUCACUUUCGUACGGGUAUUCAGAGAGCAUCUCCACUCACAGCGGGACGAAAUCCCCUGAACUCAUGCAGCUCUGAAGGUGCCCUGAACCCAGGUGGCUCCAUGUGGAAACCGACCAGUG